Molecule: ribosomal RNA, 176 nt
Filed under: uncultured Vibrio sp.
Lineage: Bacteria; Pseudomonadati; Pseudomonadota; Gammaproteobacteria; Vibrionales; Vibrionaceae
Description: partial 16S ribosomal RNA
Rfam family: Bacterial small subunit ribosomal RNA
Source: RNAcentral
UGGGGAAUAUUGCACAAUGGGCGCAAGCCUGAUGCAGCCAUGCCGCGUGUGUGAAGAAGGCCUUCGGGUUGUAAGCACUUUCAGUCGUGAGGAAGGUGGUGUUGUUAAUAGCAGCAUCAUUUGACGUUAGCGACAGAAGAAGCACCGGCUAACUCCGUGCCAGCAGCCGCGGUAAU